AACACUGUUAACCUGCGGUACCUGCGGAAGGAUCAUUACCGAGUUUACAACUCCCAAACCCCUGUGAACAUACCUAUACGUUGCCUCGGCGGAUCAGCCCGCGCCCCGUAAAAAGGGACGGCCCGCCCGAGGACCCCUAAACUCUGUUUUUAGUGGAACUUCUGAGUAAAACAAACAAAUAAAUCAAAACUUUUAGCAAUGGAUCU
This 206-nucleotide unclassified non-coding RNA is filed under the name soil metagenome. Its description in RNAcentral is "partial contains 5.8S ribosomal RNA, internal transcribed spacer 2, and large subunit ribosomal RNA". The record is from RNAcentral.